UGCAGUCGAGCGGAGUGAUGAGAAGCUGGCUUCCUUGAUGGUUAGGGGCGGAGGGGUGAGUAACAUGUGUGCAACGUGCCCUCAAGUGUGGGACAACUACCGGAAACGGGAGCUAAUACCGAAUAAUUGUUUUCUUCGCGGGAAGGAAACUGGAAGGACGGACCNCUCUGUCACUUGGGGAUGGGCCUGCCGCGCAUUAUCUAUUUGGUGGGGUAACGGCUCACCAGGGCGACUAUGCGUACCCCACCUGAGAGGGUGAUCGGCCACUCUGGGACUGACACACGGCCCACACUCCUACGGGAGGCAGCUAUGGGGAAUCUUCCGCAGUGGGCAAAACCCUGACAGAACAACGCCGCGUGAGUGAUGAGGGUUUUCGGAUCAUAAAUCUCUUUUGCCGGGAAAAAACGUGUGAGAGAAUAACUGCUCUCCAUGUGACGGUCCCUGAAAAAAAACCCCCGGCUAACUACUUGCCAACCCCCGCGGUAAUACUUAGGGGGCAAGCUUUUUCCGAAAUUUUUGGGCGUAAAGCGCGCCCAGGCGGUUUUUUAAUUCUGGUUUUUAAUCCCGGGGCUCAACCCCGGAUCGCACUGGAAACUGGGUGACUUGAGUGCAAAAAAAGAGAGUGGAAUUCCCCGUGUAGCGGUGAAAUGCGUAUAUAUGUGGGAGGAACACCCNNUGGCAAAAGGCGACUCUCUUGGCUGUAACUGACACUGAAGCGCGAAAACGUGUGGGANAAAACAAGNNAUAUAUACCCCNG
Molecule: ribosomal RNA, 757 nt
Filed under: Paenibacillus amylolyticus
Lineage: Bacteria; Bacillati; Bacillota; Bacilli; Caryophanales; Paenibacillaceae
Description: partial 16S ribosomal RNA
Rfam family: Bacterial small subunit ribosomal RNA
Source: RNAcentral